Molecule: ribosomal RNA, 119 nt
Filed under: Salmo trutta (river trout)
Lineage: Eukaryota; Metazoa; Chordata; Actinopteri; Salmoniformes; Salmonidae
Source: RNAcentral
GUUUACGGCCAUACCAGCCUGGGUACGCCCGAUCUCGUCUGAUCUCGGAAUCUAAGCAGGGUCGGGCCUGGUUAGUACUUGGAUGGGAGACCGCUUGGGAAUACCAGGUGCUGUAAGCU